This 21-nucleotide microRNA is filed under the name Arabidopsis lyrata. RNAcentral describes it as "aly-miR859-3p". Its record names the gene aly-miR859-3p. The record is from miRBase by way of RNAcentral. Lineage: Eukaryota; Viridiplantae; Streptophyta; Magnoliopsida; Brassicales; Brassicaceae.
UGAUUUUACAAUAGAUAGAUA